Pelobates cultripes (western spadefoot toad) is the source of this 444-nucleotide non-coding RNA. NCBI's taxonomy places the organism in Eukaryota, Metazoa, Chordata, Amphibia, Anura, Pelobatidae. The record is from the annotation of a GenBank genome assembly.
GCUCAUAACUAUGCAAUGAGAUUGCAGGGGCACGAUCUAUACACCAAUACUGCUUCAUUAAGCUAAAGUUGAUUUUGUGUGUAUAGGUUUCCUUUAACCCCUUAAGGACCAAACUUCUGGAAUAAAAGGGAAUCCUGACAUGUCACACAUAUCAUGUGUCCUUAAGGGGUUAAACCAAUGUUCCUGUGGAUUUAAAAAAUUGUGCAUAUCAGUUAUACAGAUUCCAAAUUGCCUACCAACCAACCCAUUAUUAAAAACAGUGCUCUUACAGAAAUAAAAACUAAUUUAUGUAUUUACAAAAAAUUAACAAAAACGACUUUAAAGGAACACUAUAGUCCCCCAAAUUACUUUAGCUAAAUAAAGCAGUUUUAGUGUAUAGAUCAUUCCCCUGCAAUUUCACUGCUCAAUUCACUGUCAUUUAGGAGUUAAAUCACUUUGUUUCUG